CCUACGGGUGGCAGCAGUGAGGAAUAUUGGUCAAUGGGCGAGAGCCUGAACCAGCCAAGUCGCGUGAGGGAGUACUGCCCUAUGGGUUGUAAACCUCUUUUGUCGGGGAGCAAAAGCCGGACGUGUCCGGCUGUGAGAGUACCCGAAGAAAAAGCAUCGGCUAACUCCGUGCCAGCAGCCGCGGUAAUACGGAGGAUGCGAGCGUUAUCCGGAUUUAUUGGGUUUAAAGGGGGCGCAGGAGGAUUUUUAAGUCAGCGGUAAAAUCGUGGGGCUCAACCCCAUCCAGCCGUUGAAACUGGGGAUCUAGAGUGUGCGAGAGGUAUGCGGAAUGCGUGGUGUAGCGGUGAAAUGCAUAGAUAUCACGCAGAACCCCGAUUGCGAAGGCAGCAUACCGGUGCACAACUGACGCUCAGGCACGAAAGCGUGGGUAUCGAACAGGAUUAGAUACCCCUGUAGUC
RNAcentral lists this ribosomal RNA (458 nucleotides) under uncultured bacterium. Its description in RNAcentral is "partial 16S ribosomal RNA". It matches the Rfam family "Bacterial small subunit ribosomal RNA", at positions 338 to 795 of the family's 1533-position model. The record is from RNAcentral.